CGCAACAACGGCUCAAUUUCAACCACGGUUUACCGUAUACCUACACACACUGACCGCUACAUAGAUUUUUCAUGACACCAUGACGAAAAACAUAAGAUUAGUGCAGCCAAAACUGUAAUUAAUAUGUCUUUGCAUUUACCAAGCAACACAUCAUGCAAAAUCCAGGAAUUAAAUCACGUUUGUGAAGCUCUCACACUCAAUGGCUAUCCCAAAAACUUGGUUACAAGAAUCACUCAA
Non-coding RNA from Paramuricea clavata, 237 nucleotides. Lineage: Eukaryota; Metazoa; Cnidaria; Anthozoa; Malacalcyonacea; Plexauridae. The record is from the annotation of a GenBank genome assembly.